This 319-nucleotide ribosomal RNA is filed under the name uncultured Coprococcus sp. RNAcentral's name for it is "bacterial SSU rRNA". It matches the Rfam family "Bacterial small subunit ribosomal RNA", at positions 28 to 339 of the family's 1533-position model. The record is from RNAcentral. Lineage: Bacteria; Bacillati; Bacillota; Clostridia; Lachnospirales; Lachnospiraceae.
GAUGAACGCUGGCGGCGUGCUUAACACAUGCAAGUCGAACGGAGCCUAGCGAGUGCUUGCACUUGCGAAAGCUUAGUGGCGGACGGGUGAGUAACGCGUGGGUAACCUGCCCUAUACUGGGGGAUAACAGUUGGAAACGACUGCUAAUACCGCAUAAGCCUACGGUGCCGCAUGACACAGUAGGAAAAACUCCGGUGGUAUAGGAUGGACCCGCGUCUGAUUAGCUAGUUGGUGAGGUAACGGCCCACCAAGGCGACGAUCAGUAGCCGGCCUGAGAGGGUGAACGGCCACAUUGGGACUGAGACACGGCCCAAACUCC